CUACAUACCAAGGCACUGCUUCACAAUACAAUCAAAAGUAAACUCUACAAUGAGAUCCCCACUGUUAGCGACAGCCCUACUCGAAGCUAUUUCCUCCUCCAAUUCAACAGGCUCUUCCCAAUAAGGUCCACUGAAGGCUUGUCUAAGAACAUUUGAGCAAUGUGUCAGAAGCCGAUGCCUCAUUUUUCUCUCUUCCUUCAGGAUGGCAACUUUAAUGAGGACAAACCCCAGGAAAAUCUCUGAUAACUCCCAACAACCUGUUCAUGUUCGGGUUUACCACUAUGAAGAAUCCUAUGGCUAAGCAAGUAUUCAGGCAUCAAGUACAAAGGACAAGCACAUACGAAUGCUACAUUGCCAAGAAAUUGUUCUAUCCUCCUGAAGGUAACAGAGCUCUCAUCUCAGACCUUUCGGAGGCAAACUGCUACCAGAGGAAGAACUUCCUGCAAAUGGGAAAAGAUGAGUCACAUCAGUGACCCUCUUGGAUCCGGCUUCAGACGAUUCAGCAUGGACCCUGGUCAUUCUAUGGCAUUUUCCUUAGGAUAGGAGACUGUUGCAAAUUUAAGAGCACAUGAAGCUAGCUGGCUUCAUAAGAAAGAAAGAAAGAAAGAAAGAAAGAAAGAAAGAAAGAAAGGUGUUACAAUUUUAAGGACUUAAACGUAGAGUAGAGCUUCCAGUUUUACUGCUUAUCUCAAAUUUUCUGUAAACUUCAAGACACUUAAAUGCAUUUGCAUAUUUCUUGGGAAUUAGCAUUUGAGGGUUCUUUGCCUACUCAUAAACAAGUUUAUAAUAAAACAGUAUACUUUCCACAUUUUGUCUACAAACCAAAAUAAAAUUUGAUCAUAUCUAAGCAUG
Molecule: long non-coding RNA, 852 nt
Filed under: Cricetulus griseus (Chinese hamster)
Lineage: Eukaryota; Metazoa; Chordata; Mammalia; Rodentia; Cricetidae
Description: lncRNA (ENSCGRG00000025232.1)
Source: RNAcentral